GCGUAUCUUCUCCCUUCUCAAGCAUUACAGUUGCCUUUAGUGACACCUUCGAUGUCACAAACACCUGUGUUGCAAAAAGGCAAAACCAGAAAUAGUAAGAAACAAAAACGUAACUGGCA
RNAcentral lists this non-coding RNA (119 nucleotides) under Fragilariopsis kerguelensis. Lineage: Eukaryota; Bacillariophyta; Bacillariophyceae; Bacillariales; Bacillariaceae. The record is from RNAcentral.